Molecule: long non-coding RNA, 1611 nt
Organism: Oncorhynchus tshawytscha (Chinook salmon)
Lineage: Eukaryota; Metazoa; Chordata; Actinopteri; Salmoniformes; Salmonidae
Source: Ensembl
GCUAAUAGUAGGCAACUCAGUGGCUCUACUCUCAGUAUGAGCCGAAAACACACUCUUGUGCGUCAACCCAAACUCGUCUGCCAACACAGACGCUUCUGACAGGGAGGAUACUUUCUGUUCGUUUAGGUAAACUACAAUGCAUUUGGGUGAGUUAUCUCAUCCUAUCACAGCCCUUCAUCCUGCCAAGCAUGGGGAUUCACAGCUCAGGGGCUGCUAUCUGGACGGCGACUGAACUUUAUCUGGCCAUGGGGGCACCAGGGGCGGAGAUGGCUCCCGACGCAAGAUCAGACAAGUCCACGCCAUGCCAAUACUCAGCAGAACACUAUAAUAUAGUGUAACAGGGGUCAACAUCCCACAGCUGGUUGGACUGGAGGAUGAUACUGUGCUGGUGGAAACAACACCUGACUCUGUACCACAGAUCAAGCAGUACCAGCACUUCAGCUUCGGUGCUCUGGAGCCUGGUGUUGUUGUCGCCAUGGACUGUUCGGACUCAGUGGGAACCAGGUUUCAGCUGCUGCGAAACGCUGACAUCCUUCCUCCCAUAGAUGGUCUGCCUAUACAAUCACCACCUGGACUUUACACAGACAAACGUAUCUUUUUGACAAGAUCAGGAAGUUUUAAGACGAAGAGGCUAUGGACGUCACAUGCCCUGCGCCAAAGUCAAGGGCAGGACAGAAACAGGCUCUACGAAUGUAGAUUCCCUUGUUCAUGCGUGGUUCGGAUGGACCAGUCAUCAGCACUAUCUGCAGUUCCUCUAUUCAAAUGACUCUCUCCUAACACACACGCCAUACGUUGCUGCUUCAAAAACAAAAAGAUAUCCUGCUGCUCAGCCACUUUACCCCUGAUUGUAUGCAUAUAACUACCUUGUCUAUCACUGAUAUUGAUAUUGUUCUUGUACAUACUGCGUAUUAUUUUAUUUAUAUUGAUGCCAUUUCUGAUAUUGCUACUAUACAAUUAACCAUUUGGCUGUACCGUUUACACCUUCUGUAGAGACCAAUCCACUUAGCAAGACUUAGCAGAAUAUUGAUAUAUAAAAUGAAUUUUGAUAUGUGUGGUCGUAACAUGAUUUUGUGACAUACCACAACAAUAUCAUGUGACCAUAUCAAGAGUCCACCACAUACAUAUAUGGCGCAUAAAUCUGUUUACGUACUGUUUAUGUACUGUAUGUACCUAUGCACCUCACUCAGGUUUCAACUCAGGUUGCAUGGCCUUAACUUAUGUAUGGAAUACUAUGUGAUAAGUGUGUGUGUAACAGUAUAUAAAAUAUGCUAAUGUACUGUUGUGAAGGCAUUUGGGCAGUGGUGUAAUGUACUUCAGUAAAAUACUACUUUUGUAUUUGGGGGUAUCUGUACAUUACUUUACUAUCUAUAUUUUUGGCAACUUUUACUUUACCUUCACCACAUUCCGGAAAAAAAAUGUACUUCUUACCCCAAACAUUUUCCCUGGCACCCAAAGUACUUCACACACUUAUCAAAAGAACAUCCCUGGUCAUCCCUUCUGCCUCACUAAACACAAAUGCUUUUUUGAAGUUAUGUCUGAGUGUUGGAGUGUGCACCUGCCUAUCCGUCAAUAAAAAAUAAAAACAAUUAGGCCAUCUGGUUUAAUAUAAGG